This 484-nucleotide ribosomal RNA is filed under the name uncultured bacterium. RNAcentral describes it as "partial 16S ribosomal RNA". It matches the Rfam family "Bacterial small subunit ribosomal RNA", at positions 30 to 507 of the family's 1533-position model. The record is from RNAcentral.
AUUGAACGCUGGCGGCAGGCCUAACACAUGCAAGUCGAGCGGAUGAAGGGAGCUUGCUCCUGGAUUCAGUGGCGGACGGGUGAGUAAUGCCUAGGAAUCUGCCUGGCAGUGGGGGAUAACGUCCGGAAACGGGCGCUAAUACCGCACACGUCCUGAGGGAGAAAGCGGGGGAUCAUCGGACAUCACGCUAUCAGCUGAGCCUAGGUCGGAUUAGCUAGUUGGUGGGGUAAAGGCCUACCAAGGCGACGAUCCGUAACUGGUCUGAGAGGAUGAUCAGUCACACUGGAACUGAGACACGGUCCAGACUCCUACGGGAGGCAGCAGUGGGGAAUAUUGGACAAAGGGCGAAAGCCUGAUCCAGCCAUGCCGCGUGUGUGAAGAAGGUCUUCGGAUUGUAAAGCACUUUAAGUUGGGAGGAAGGGCAGUAAGUUAAUACCUUGCUGUUUUGACGUUACCUACAGAGUAAGCACCGGCUAACUUCGUG